This 138-nucleotide small nucleolar RNA is filed under the name Ornithorhynchus anatinus (platypus). The record is from RNAcentral. Lineage: Eukaryota; Metazoa; Chordata; Mammalia; Monotremata; Ornithorhynchidae.
CUCCUCUCAGGGUCACACCUGGAGAGUUUCCAGUACUCUACCAGUCAUGACUACAGGAGGGAGAGUCAAGCAGAGGCCUACCCAUUCCAUUCCUAGCUUAGCCAGUGGCUAGCGAGGGGAAGGAAAUAUGCUACAAGU